GAAAUUCUCCCUCACGACCCAACAUUGAGCACGUUAUUUUACAUUAUAAAAGUAUCAAACAAUUAGUUGUUCAUUACAUGUAAAGGAGAAAAAACAUGGCAAGAAUUCUCAAGUUUGUUAAUGUCUUCUUCCUCUUUUUUCUACUAUUUCUUGUUGUAUGCAAUGGUAAUAAGCUCUUUCUCCCACAUUUUCAAAAUUUUCUUUUUUUACCUUAGACUAUUUUCAUCCUCUUUUUGUUACAUUUUUUUUUUUCUUCUUCUUUUCAUCGCAGCAUUUUAUGUAUGCAUAAAUGACCAAGAUUGUCCAGAUUCUUCUUGCGCUCUUACUGAAGAUAAGAUGUGCAGUUGGAUUGUGUGUUCAUGCAUGCGGAAAUUAUGAAAAAUGGUGUAAGUUUAAAAGUUAUUCUUUACUAUUUUGAAGCCUUUAAUUUUAUUUAUGCUUUUAGAAUCGUGAGUUGGGCUUAACUCAAUCUUACAAAAUCGGAUUGUAAGGUGAAAACUGCUCUCAAUUAUAAACACAUAUUCAGACUAUUUCACAAUCGAUUUGAGACUUCUUAACAUAUGCAUGUCAUAAUGAACAGUUGGAUUGUGCGUUCAUGUGACAUGUCAUAAUGUUGGUAUGAUAUUCAUAUGAUUUAUUUCACACUCAAAUAUCUCUAACCUUUGUUUUUGUUGACAAGUUUUAUCUUGCACAUGUUGUUACCAAUGUUUUCUUUCAGAAUAUCUAGAAAACAUUGUCCCAAAAAUAAAUAAUUUAGAAAACAAGAACAUCAUCAUUACAUGAUUAUAUAAUUAUUAUUUUUUUAAAUAAAUGCAACAUGUAUGAUUAAGUAAAUUUACAAAUAUUGGUUUGUACUUGAGUAACCAUUGUAUUUAAAGGUGAGCAAGAAUCAAAACCAAGAAAAAACAAAAUGAAGAAUUUUUCACAUGCAAAUCACUUCGGAUUUACACAUUUAGAAAAACAUUUUGAGGUUGUUGAUGUAUAUAUAAUUCCGAAUUUAUUUAUGGGUCAUGAUAACAUAUAUCCUAAAGACACAUAUUAAGGAAAUUAAAAAUAGAAUAAUUUUUAUAUCGAAUUUUUUUUUUAUUUAGUGAAUGAAGUUACCAAAGAUCACAAUUUAUUUUGAGCUUAACUCUAAAUAGUUAUAAAGUCAAAUAUGAAAUGGUACUGACAAUCUAACAUUGAAUUUGAUUCUGCAGUUUAUUUUUAAAUGUGAGGCUCUAGUUGUGCUUGGUUCAAAUAUCAUGAAGGACGUUUAAUUGGCUUAAUGGAAUUGGUGGUUUAUAUGUUCAAAUAAUUAUUAUGAUGUAGAUUUUCAUAUUACUUGCAAGACCUAUGUCGUACAAUAACUUUUGUGUUGUUUCUAGUUUACAUUCUGUAUUUUAUGAAAAUUGCUGUAAUUUUGUGAUCUUUUAGUUUUGGAUUGAAUAAAAUUAAGGUGGAAGCAUUUUCUUUCUCAUGAUGAUUUUUAAAAUUAAACCUCCCAUUUAAACUUUAUUCUUAAAGUAACUUUUAAGUCUUAAAAAAAUAGGGUCGAACACAACCUAAAA
RNAcentral lists this long non-coding RNA (1550 nucleotides) under Trifolium pratense (red clover). RNAcentral's name for it is "long non-coding RNA (TPRA_LNC000385)". The record is from RNAcentral. Lineage: Eukaryota; Viridiplantae; Streptophyta; Magnoliopsida; Fabales; Fabaceae.